RNAcentral lists this ribosomal RNA (380 nucleotides) under Neuropogon sphacelatus. Its description in RNAcentral is "partial 18S ribosomal RNA". The record is from RNAcentral. Lineage: Eukaryota; Fungi; Ascomycota; Lecanoromycetes; Lecanorales; Parmeliaceae.
GUCGUAACAAGGUUUCCAUAGGCGGAACAUCGCAUCCUUUCGGGUACAUCUGCCGAAACCUUAGUGAACUGAUUAGGCGACUCUAAACAAGUAUAAUCCUCGGGGCUUACCCCUGAGCACUAGCCAUCUCUUGUGGAUGGCGACAUUACCAGCAUGCGAGAACAUUCAAAUUAGUUGGAUAACCCGCAGUCACAUUUGUGGCCCACAGGCUAAAUGGUAAUGGGCGUAGCUGCUAGGCACCUAUGCUUCAGAUAUAGUCGGUCCCCAGAUAUCUCUGGGAGACUUUUGGAUUUGGUGAGUCUGAGCCGCACGAGUUCCUUCGAAACCCAAUUUCCACGAGCGAGUAAACGUUCCGUAGGUGAACCUGCGGAAGGAUCAUU